AACCAAAACCCCAUGUUCAUCGUCUCUCUCAGAUACCAUCCCCUCCACUAAAGACCCUAGCCGAUACCCUACUCCUCUAUCUGAAACCCGGCGGCAACAACACCGCCGGUCACCAAACCAACACCCUAAGACCACCUGACCACCCUGGUUCCAAAUCCACCAACCGUUUGGCUCGAAGCAUCCUCAGACUUCUCGAAUCUUCAUUUGAAUAUUCGAGCCAAACUGAAACCUACCACAAUCCAUCCCAAAAUCACACCCUGGCACCCCGACCUCCCUCAUACCCUAAAUGCCUGUGGUCCCGUUCGAAUCUGCCUAGAAAUAUUCGAACCCUAAAUCAGACCAUAAGAACCCUAGAAAACCUAAACCAUGGAAUCUGUCAAAAUUAAAGGGUAUUUGGGGUUGAAUCGGCCUUAGUCGAAGUGUUCUCAGUCGAGAACACUUCCACUAAGGGUCGUUUGACCUCAAAAAUUCGAGUCCGAGAUUGGUCAAGUCCGUUUGAUUUCUGAUCUUUUCUGAGGUAUUUUUUCCAUGCUUUUUUGUUUUUGUUUUUUGUUGUAGUUAUUUGUUUAAGUUUAGUGAUAAUUAAAUUUCCGUUCUUCACUGUUCUUCUACUCCAGUAGACCUUUUUAUUUGGUUGCAUUAUUUUUGUUUGAGUUUAGUAUAUAAUAGGCUGUGUAAUCGAAUCGAAUAGUUUCAUCGAAUAAUUAAGUUUUAUUAUAACUCUUUGUUUCUGUCAAAUGCCACUCAAAUUACUUGUCUGCCUAUUUCUGAUUGUUUGUUGUUUAGUUGUAUAUGUUAUGAACUAUGCAAUUGACCAAUUAGUUAUCGUCGAUUAAUUCGGUCGUGUUUGUAGUUCAGUAAUUCAUGUCCAAAUGUUUGGUGUCAAAUGUGUUAUGAACUGAUCCUGAAUCUUUGCAUAGGUUUGUUUUAAGGUUGAUUCCCUGCUUAUUUUUGUUUGUGGUAUAGCUAAUUAGGACUAAUUCCCCCAUUAAGUCCCAUGUACCUGUAUAAUCAAUCCGACCCUUAGUAGUAUAAAGUAUGUGCUUUGAAUAAUUGUUUCUUAUUUUGAUAAUGUUUUGUCCAAUCUAAAUGCCAUGCUGAAAUUGGUACUCAAUAUAGUUUUAGUAUCUUAAAUGAUUUCAGUUCAUUUUGAUUUUCGUAGUUAGUUGUUUCUAUUGUUUUAAUCUGAUUGUAAUAGUUUUAGUUCUGUGAUUGAUAUUAAGGAUUGGUUACAUCUGUUAAUCAUUAAUUAAUUUUUGUUAAUUAGGUUUGAACAAAUUUUGAAUUAGGGCAGUAAUUUUCAAGGGUUUAAGGGGGUAAGUUAGGGAUUUAACAGGGCUGUAAUUGAGACUAAUUUAAGGGUCGUGAUUAUUAAAUAAAUUAGUUUGAUAUUAGUUGGGGACAAGACAUUCUAAGUGGGAUUGAAAAGUUAAAAGAUAACUUAUAGUGGAAGACUACUUUCUACUUUGGGUAGACCAAUUUGAGAAUAAUUAACUACCCACUAAGGCCAAAAAUUUGGAAAAAAGGUGAUUGAAAAUUAGAGAAUGCAAUAAAAGGGAGAAAAUUUUCUUCAAGUGGGGGGAAGUUUUUGAGAUCAAAAUUUUAGAACUUAAGAGUGAGAUAUAAACUGACUUUUGAAUACUAAGAAGAUUUCAGAGUUUAAAAGCAAAUAUAGGCUGAUUUUUUUACAAUAAAGGUUCAGUUAAUUUGAGAGUUACAAAAAUGAAAGUGAGGUCUCUUUGCUAUUGAAAAUCAGUAUUGCUGGCUAUUGUUCCAUUGAAGUUCUAUGUCUCUUUCUGUUUUUGCCCGUGAUACUGCUUGGGGUUUCUGGUAUUGGUGUUACUGUUGGAUUGUUUUUGAAACUAUUAUUGGUUGUGGGAUUAUCUCUGUUGGUUUUAAAAACUGUCCCUGGGUGUUCUAUUUGCCACUGCGAUUGCUGAUUGUUGUUGCUGCUUUGCUGCUGCUGAUCAUCAUCUUCUUCCUAUCCUAUUCUCCAAUCCGGGCACCAUUUUGAAUUCGUUGCAAUGUAAUUGUGAGCUGGAAGGCGAAAUAAAGAAGUUUCAUCGAUUUUAUAUGUUAAUGAGUGCCUCCUGUUGAUUGCUAGAUUGUAAUUAAGUUCUGUUAUAGUUGUAUUGAUACUGCACAAGGCUAUAUGAAAUUUGUUGUAAUUAUAAGAUUGUAAAACUAGGACAUCGGCAGUUUGCUUGGAAUGGGGUCAAGGUGGAAUCACCAUCUAACUGUUGGGAAUGUGGUAACUUGAACACUGAUUUUUGAAUUAGUUGGUUGUUAGAUUAUGUGGCUUCAAUUGAACUCUUGUAUUAAUAAUAACUAGAUGAAAAAUCAGCCUACUAUGUUAGUAAUUAUUUCCAGUUUGUUAUGCAUUUAAAAGGCAAUCAUUUGAACUAGAUUUGAACAGAGUUUUGUUGUACAUUUUGGACUGCAUUGUGAUUGUAUGAAAAAAUGGACUUUUACAUUGAAUUGGUUGUCUAACUUUGUUUAGAAUUCUGAAAUUAGACAGUAAGCUGCAAUUUGAAAUGGUAAAGUUUUAGUUGAAUUGUUUAGUGAUAAUGGUUCAUGGUUGUUUUAUUAGAAAUUGAAAAGGUUUUAGAAAUUGAAAGUUUUUUUUUAAAUUUGUGAGUUCCAACGAAGCCAGUGUUCUUUUCCGCAUGUGUUCGUCCACUCUGCUUGAUUUUUUUGAGUUCAAAAA
RNAcentral lists this long non-coding RNA (2707 nucleotides) under Nicotiana benthamiana. RNAcentral's name for it is "long non-coding RNA (NBEN_LNC006601)". The record is from RNAcentral. Lineage: Eukaryota; Viridiplantae; Streptophyta; Magnoliopsida; Solanales; Solanaceae.